UCCGCCGGGUCUCCUCAGCGUGGGCACUCGAGGCUCUUCGUUGUGAGGCCUCAAGCAGCCUUUGCGGCCUGAUUUCCUGCGUUUCUGCCCCUCAUGUUCCUGCGGUUAGCCUCCCUGAACUUUGUGGCAUUUCAUAAAAUGGCAUGCAGUAUAUUCCUGACCGGAGAGAAUUUGCUUCCACUGGACAUCAUUGAAAUGGAAUCUUCUAUUUCCCAUUGUAUGCACGUGAUGAUUAGACACACUUUCUGCAGGCUGGCCUUUAGGCCCAUACCUGGCAAACCCUGCUUCUCCUCCAUUCCCCCCAGACCUCCAGUGUUUACUCUAUUGAUUGGACCUUUGGUCUGCAGCUCUGUGUCCUCACAGCAGGGAUUGCAGAGUGAAAUAGCUUGAAGAUGAAAGAGUGUGAUUUUUCCAUUUAUGGAGUGGUCUGCUGUUUCUGUUGGCCAAGAGAUCCUUGAUACACAUCUG
Long non-coding RNA from Zalophus californianus (California sea lion), 468 nucleotides. RefSeq lists it as uncharacterized. Lineage: Eukaryota; Metazoa; Chordata; Mammalia; Carnivora; Otariidae. The record is from RefSeq and is a predicted model, not a curated record. The transcript has 3 exons.